This 200-nucleotide ribosomal RNA is filed under the name uncultured bacterium. Its description in RNAcentral is "partial 16S ribosomal RNA". It matches the Rfam family "Bacterial small subunit ribosomal RNA", at positions 1294 to 1500 of the family's 1533-position model. The record is from RNAcentral.
CGGAUCGGAGUCUGNAACCCGACUCCCGUGAAGCUGGAUUCGCUAGUAAUCGCGCAUCAGCCAUGGCGCGGUGAAUACGUUCCCGGGCCUUGUACACACCGCCCGUCAAGCCAUGGAAGCCGGGAGUGCCUGAAGUGUGCAACCGCAAGGAGCGCCCUAAGGUAAAACUGGUGACUGGGGCUAAGUCGUAACAAGGUAAC